AAUAUUGAUUUUUCAUCUGACAGUUAGUAUUGACCGCGUUUCGUUGAGGUUAAAGCGCAGGAAGGUGCUUUAUUUUCUGCUUUGGAUGAAAUCAUAAUUAAAAAUGAGUGAAUUUUAUCAUAUUGUUCCUUGGUUCAAUAGUGACGAGUGGCAGAGAGUGUACAUUGGUAUAACAUCAGAUGCUGAUUCCAGCAAAGAAGAGGCUCUAAAACUUUUACUCGUGUGGAAAGCCAGAUGCCCGUCUCUCCCGUCCGGCAUAGAGUCAACUCUGAGUUUACUGCAAGUUCAUGUUCAGGAUUCAAAGAAUUCUCAUGAUGUGGCCAAUGAUCAACUAAUGCGUCUUGCGUAUUCAUCAGCAGUCAUGCGAUUUGUUAACCACAUGCUGGACACCGAAACAGCUAAAGGGACAAGCUUAUAUCAAGCAGCUAAAACCUUAGGGGUUCCUGACUGGAUUGUGGAUUUACGACAUGAUACUGCUCACAGUAAUAUACUUCCACCUUUAACAUUGUUACGAGAAGCAUGUUCUAUCAGUCUGAAAUGGCUGCAAACUAAUUAUUGGGACAAUCACAAGCAGUACAUCCAGGACUAUGUGUGUGGACAAAAUAAUGUCAACAUUCCUGAUGCAUAUAAAAUUCAAGCACUGAUUAAUUUUUGCAUUUCAUUGGGAAUAUGCACAAAUUCAAAAGUGAAGAUCAAAAAUUUAUCUGAAAUACCAAACUUGACUAUGCGAGAAUCAAUUAUUAAUGAUGCAAAAGAUUUGCUAGGCGAACACCUUGAUCUAUCUAACCUGAAAACGGUGUCUAUUGCAUCGCUUAUAAACAUCCUAAACACGCAUGGUAAAAAGCUUUUAAAGUUCAAGGAUGCAAGCGAAAUUGUUAAUGAGGCUUUGCUUGGAGAUGAUGGACUAUUUCUCUCAAGGGAACUUCUAUAUUUCUUCAGUGCAACAGACUUUAAAUUUAAAAACAGAUUGUACCCUGGUUACGUUCAAUGUUUUGAACUCCUGCUCACAUUCCUUCACACAAAUGAUUUGUUGUUGAACUUUAUAUUGGCUCUUAUAAAGUUAACAUAUAGUCCGGAAACAUCACGUUUUAAAGCAAGACUCGCUUCAAUGUGGCUUUCUGAAAUUUUAAGAGCCUUGAAAAUAUCACAUAAUGUGGCACAGAAGACAAAAAAAAUGGCUUUUGACAAAAUACCAAAGAGGAAAGAUUUGAUACAGCUGUAUGAACAUUGGUACCCGGGCAGUCACAUAAAGAAUGUCCUUGUUUUGGAUCUUCUAAAACCUGUUCCUGAAGAACUGCAAGAUUUAAAAUUCAUUCAACCAAUCCUAUCUCAAUAUAAUACGCAUCUGUCGUUUUUCGUGGCAAAUCUUCUAGAUUUACUUGUGCCAAAACUUAACUUUUUUGCGGCAAAGAGAAUUUGCUUGAUAGCAAGAUUGAUAGCAUCUCCAGAUAAGUUCCCUUUCCCUCCAUCUUCAACUAUUUACACAGCUGACGAUGUGCAAGGUGAAUAUAUUGAUAUAUGCGAACAAUAUGGGAGACGUGUGGUUACUGUGGUGCCUAAAAUCAGAGAACCACCAGCGAAAUUCGUAAAUUUCAUAUGGAACGAAGCUUCUGAUGAACAUGACUGGUCUACAUGCCCUAUUGGAAAGGUACCUUGGCAACCAAAUGAUGUUGGUGUGCAAGCUAAUAUAAAAUAAAUGGAGAAUGGACGAAAAGCACCUAAAGCUGUGCUUAAUAGUCUCAGCUGUGUUUUUUAUCUUCAACAUUUGUUAUAUAUAAGUAGUCAGAAGUCAAAUAAGGCAUACCUGGUACCUGGGCUGCGUUACUCUAGGUGCCAGAAAAGUUCAGAAAUAUAAAUGCAUUAUUUUCGGUUUGUGAGGGUCUCCACGAGGAUAGACCUUCAAAACACAAAUUAUAAUAGGAUCAUGCUCCAUCUGUUAACACCAAAAUCAUCUCUAGCCGCUAUGGCCAUGGUCAAUAUAUACACUUGCCCAUAGUCCUUUAAGUCGAAAUAUGCAGAAUUAAAUAUUAAAUUCAUAUCAAAUGUAUAACAUUAUUAUAACUUUAUGUAGAAAUAAAUAUAAAGUUUAUGUCGAAAGUAUAACAUUGGCGUACCUUUAUGUAGAAAUAAAGUUCAUGUCAAAUGUAUUACAUAUUGGUGUAUCUUUAUGUCGAAAUAAAAGCAUAAUAAAACACAUUUAUCUCAUUA
This 2208-nucleotide unclassified non-coding RNA is filed under the name Helicoverpa zea (corn earworm). Its description in RNAcentral is "uncharacterized LOC124636967, transcript variant X1". Lineage: Eukaryota; Metazoa; Arthropoda; Insecta; Lepidoptera; Noctuidae. The record is from RNAcentral.